CAUCUUCAAUAGGAAGCUGUUCUAAGAUCAAGUCGGUCAAGUGUUCUGGCAAGUUGUUGAUUUUAUCUUCCUCACCAUAAAUGACUUCCGUCUUUUUAUGUCUCUCUAUUAUUAGAUUCACUACAAAAAAUUAAAAAUGGGAUCAAGUAAAGCAAGAAUGUUAUUCCAUAGUUGUACGAGUGUGUCCAAGCUAGAGCAAUAUUAGCUAUACGAAAGCAAAGCUAGGCCAUACAUAAAGCAUCACAAGAAAACUUGUCUUAUGAAAUGCAUGAAGGAUGAUAACCAAACAAUUUCAGUCCAAGAUAAUGAGGUUCAGGCAUGAAUGAUGGAGGGUUUUUCAGUUAAUGGGUUCAAUGAAAACAGUUAAAAGAUAUAUGGGAAUUUAAUCGAUCAUUUACUGGGAUACAAUUUCUUUUGGGUUCAAUUUUUGUCAAUCCUAAGGAUUCUUCGUGCAUCAAUGGCUUACCCUGGCAAAACCUAACUUAAAACAACAUACAUGACCACAUAAUAUUCAGUCUACUAGCAAAAACUAGAUUAUACCAUUCAUACUUGAUGUCUUGCAAAGUUAACAACUAUUCAAUUAUCUAUGGAACGCAUGUAAUUAAUAAAAUCUUACCACAUUCGGUUUCCUGAUUUCUGUUUUCCAGUGGAUAUGUGAGGACUGACAACGACUACCCAAAACAGGGUUUACGUUUCCUACCGGAAUGAGCAAAAGAAUCUAAACAGCGUAGCUCAAACAAAAUCCCUUUGCCACACGACAUUCAAAUAAUAAAAAAAACAUGGAGGUUUAUGAAGUAGAAACUUACCCAUCGACUAAGUGGUCUAUAUUUCAGGGUAAAAUGUCGUAGAAUUGAGAACUUAGGGUUUACUGUCAGCGCCUAAAUUAAAUUCACAGUAAAUUGUUAACCCCUGUUAAACCCAUUAUUUAUAGUUUUACAUGUUAUUAGUUUGAGUAAAUUGCACGAAUGAUCCAUAUAUGGUUUAGGGUAAUAUGCAAAAGUGGUAAC
This 1007-nucleotide long non-coding RNA is filed under the name Lactuca sativa (garden lettuce). Its description in RNAcentral is "long non-coding RNA (LSAT_LNC000427)". The record is from RNAcentral. Lineage: Eukaryota; Viridiplantae; Streptophyta; Magnoliopsida; Asterales; Asteraceae.